GCAACGAGCGCAACCCUUAUGCUUAGUUGCCAGCAGGUCAAGCUGGGCACUCUAAGCAGACUGCCGGUGACAAACCGGAGGAAGGUGGGGAUGACGUCAAAUCAUCAUGCCCCUUAUGACCUGGGCUACACACGUACUACAAUGGCCGGUACAACGGGAAGCGAAAUCGCGAGGUGGAGCCAAUCCUAGAAAAGCCGGUCUCAGUUCGGAUUUGUAGGCUGCAACUCGCCUACAUGAAGUCGGAAUUUGCUAGUAAUCGCGGAUCAGCAUGCCGCGGUGAAUACGUUCCCGGGUCUUGUACACACCGCCCGUCACACCACGAGAGUUUACAACACCCGAAGUCGGUGGGGUAACCCGCAAGGGAGCCAGCCGCCGAAGGUGGGGUAGAUGAUUGGGUGAAGUCGUA
RNAcentral lists this ribosomal RNA (406 nucleotides) under bacterium SPA I9900232. Its description in RNAcentral is "bacterial SSU rRNA". It matches the Rfam family "Bacterial small subunit ribosomal RNA", at positions 1089 to 1490 of the family's 1533-position model. The record is from RNAcentral.